UACGUAGGGUGCGAGCGUUUGUCCGGAAUUACUGGGCGUAAAGAGCUCGUAGGUGGUUUGUCGCGUUGUCCGUGAAAUUCCCUGGCUUAACUGGGGGCGUGCGGGCGAUACGGGCAGACGUGGAGUACUGCAGGGGAGACUGGAAUUCCUGGUGUAGCGGUGGAAUGCGCAGAUAUCAGGAGGAACACCGAUGGCGAAGGCAGGUCUCUGGGCCGUAACUGACGCUGAG
Molecule: ribosomal RNA, 229 nt
Filed under: uncultured bacterium
Lineage: Bacteria
Description: partial 16S ribosomal RNA
Rfam family: Bacterial small subunit ribosomal RNA
Source: RNAcentral